Non-coding RNA from Pelobates cultripes (western spadefoot toad), 211 nucleotides. NCBI's taxonomy places the organism in Eukaryota, Metazoa, Chordata, Amphibia, Anura, Pelobatidae. The record is from the annotation of a GenBank genome assembly.
AUUUAACUAACUAUAAAUAGGACAAUUACAAAAAAUAAACUUACAGGAACGGUAGGUUAAGGAGAACCCUGCUCCAACAAGCUUUACAGUCUACGUAUCUAUAUCAGGGGACUAAAUCUCCCACAAUGCUCUUACAGCCAUAAUGCUGGCAAAGCAUCAUGGGAUGUGUAGUCCAAAACAUCUGCAGUGCCGAAGGAUGCCUAUCCCUGAU